GAUGAACGCUGGCGGCGUGCCUAAUACAUGCAAGUCGAGCGAACGGACGAGAAGCUUGCUUCUCUGAUGUUAGCGGCGGACGGGUGAGUAACACGUGGAUAACCUACCUAUAAGACUGGGAUAACUUCGGGAAACCGGAGCUAAUACCGGAUAAUAUUUUGAACCGCAUGGUUCAAAAGUGAAAGACGGUCUUGCUGUCACUUAUAGAUGGAUCCGCGCUGCAUUAGCUAGUUGGUAAGGUAACGGCUUGCCAAGGCAACGAUGCAUAGCCGACCUGAGAGGGUGAUCGGCCACACUGGAACUGAGACACGGUCCAGACUCCUACGGGAGGCAGCAGUAGGGACUCUUCCGCAAUGGGCGAAAGCCUGACGGAGCAACGCCGCGUGAGUGAUGAAGGUCUUCGGAUCGUAAAACUCUGUUAUUAGGGAUGAACAUAUGUGUAAGUAACUGUGCACAUCUUGACGGUACCUAAUCAGAAAGCCACGGCUAACUACGUG
Molecule: ribosomal RNA, 497 nt
Filed under: uncultured bacterium
Lineage: Bacteria
Description: partial 16S ribosomal RNA
Rfam family: Bacterial small subunit ribosomal RNA
Source: RNAcentral